This 492-nucleotide ribosomal RNA is filed under the name uncultured bacterium. Its description in RNAcentral is "partial 16S ribosomal RNA". It matches the Rfam family "Bacterial small subunit ribosomal RNA", at positions 29 to 507 of the family's 1533-position model. The record is from RNAcentral.
AGUGAACGCUGGCGGUAGGCCUAACACAUGCAAGUCGAACGGCAGCACAGUAAGAGCUUGCUCUUACGGGUGGCGAGUGGCGGACGGGUGAGGAAUACAUCGGAAUCUACUUUUUCGUGGGGGAUAACGUAGGGAAACUUACGCUAAUACCGCAUACGACCUACGGGUGAAAGCAGGGGAUCUUCGGACCUUGCGCGAUUGAAUGAGCCGAUGUCGGAGUAGCUAGUUGGCGGGGUAAAGGCCCACCAAGGCGACGAUCCGUAGCUGGUCUGAGAGGAUGAUCAGCCCCACUGGAACUGAGACACGGUCCAGACUCCUACGGGAGGCAGCCGUGGCGAAUAUUGGACAAUGGGCGCAAGCCUGAUCCAGCCAUACCGCGUGGGUGAAGAAGGCCUUCGGGUUGUAAAGCCCUUUUGUUGGGAAAGAAAAGCAGCAGGUUAAUACCCCGCUGUUCUGACGGUACCCAAAGAAUAAGCACCGGCUAACUUCGUG